GAAAUUUUCUAGUUUCUUUGAGGAAUGAAUUUAAGUGCUAGUAUAAUCAGAUUAUUUUUUUCUGGUCUAUUUAUUAAGUUUCCCCAUAUGGUAACCUAAUGAAAAUUUCUCAUCUUUUCAUUUCAAGCAAAGUAAGCUGUAAUUAUCCUUUUUUUUGGCUUAAUAAAGCUCUGACUAUAAGGUUUUUAUUUUUUCUAACAGUAAUUCUCCUGGGCUAAACUGUGUUUCGCUAAUACAUGGUAUUUAAACCUGUUAUCCAAUCUAUAUAUGCAUAAAG
Molecule: long non-coding RNA, 277 nt
Filed under: Bos taurus (domestic cattle)
Lineage: Eukaryota; Metazoa; Chordata; Mammalia; Artiodactyla; Bovidae
Description: long non-coding RNA NONBTAT015932
Source: RNAcentral